GCUGGUGUUGCCGUGAAAAUGUCACUGCGUGGACUUUUUUUAGUCGAGGCUGCGUUCGAGGACCCGCUGGCACCUUCCAGAAAGCCACGUCGUGUCAGCCGAGUACGUCGAGGAAGUACACUGACGGAGGACAUGGCGAUGGAGCGAAUACAAAUCUCUGUUGCCGGGGAAACACACUCUGGCAGGAGGAAAUGUAACACGCAGGCUGAUGUCAAUCUCUAAAGUCCACAUUUCACGCUGUGGAAACAUCUGCUGCAGACGUAACGAGGAGGUAGGUCUUGUUCUGGACAUUUUCAAUCUUCUCAAUAACACAGGUGUCAAACUCAAGGCCUGCGGGCCAAAUCUGUAGCCCGUCCCUUAAUUUUAAUGUGGCAGACCACAUGAUUCAUUUAUUGUUGCCUUCCAUGUCAUUUUUAAAAUGGCUCGCCACGUCAUUUAAAGUGGUACGCCACAUAAUCCUAAUGUGGCCUGCCACAUCUUAUUUUUAAUGUAGCCCACCACAUCAUUUUACGUAGUCCGCCACAUCAUUUAACGUUGCCUUCCGUGUCGUUUUAAAAGUGGCCUGCCACAUCAUUUUAUGUGGUCCCAACGCCAUUUAAUGUGGCUCACCAUGUCAUUUUUAAAGUCGCCCGCCACGUCAUUUAAAGUGGCAUACCACAUAAUCCUAAUGUGGCCUGCCACAUCCUUAUUUUAAUGUAGCCCACCACAUCACUUUAUGUGGCCCUCCACUUAAUUUAAUGUGGUUCACCAUAUAAUUUUUCAUGCGGCACGCCACAUCAUUUAACGUGGUCUGCCACAUCAAUUAAUCUGGCCCUCCACGACAUUUUUUAACGUGUCCAGUCACCUCUUUUUAAUAAGACCCGCCAAGGCGUUUUAUGUAGUCCGUUAAAUUUUUUAAUGUGGCCUGCCACGUCCUUUUUUUAAUGUAGCCCACCACAUCAUUUUACGUAGUCCGCCACGUCAUUUAAUGUUGCCUUCCGUGUCGUUUUAAAGGUGGCCUGCCACAUCGUUUUAUGUGGUCCCAACGCCAUUUAAUGUGGCUCACCAUGUCAUUUUUAAAGUCGCCUGCCACAUCAUUUAAAGUGGCAUACCACAUAAUCCUAAUGUGGCCUGCCACAUCCUUUUUUUAAUGUAGCCCACCACAUCAUUUUAUGUGGCCCCCACAUCAUUUAAUGUGGUCUGCCACAUCAAUUAAUUUGGCCCUCCACGACAUUUUUUAACGUGUGCAGCCACCUCCUUUUAAUAAGACCCGCCAAGGCGUUUUAUGUGGUCCGUUACAUUAUUCAAUGUGACCCUCUACGUCAUUUAACCUGACUCACCAUGUCAUUUUUAAAAAUGGCCCACCACAUAAUUUUAUGUGGCCCCCACGUCAUUUAAAGUGGCUCACCAUAUCAUUUUUCAUGCGGCACGCCAAUCAUUUAAGUGGCCUUCCAUGUCAUUUUUAAAGUGACCCACCUUAUCAUUUCACUUGGUCUGCCCCAUUAUUUAAAGUGGCCCCCCACCUCAUUUAAUGUGGCACGCCACAUAAUUGUAAAGGGAACAGCCAUAUUAAUGUUGUCUGCCACAUCAAUUAAUUUGGCCCUCCACGUCAUUUUUUUAACGUGUCCAGCCACCUCCUUUUAAUAAGACCCGCCAAGUCGUUUUAUGUGGCCCAACAUAUCGUUGAUGUGGCCUGUGAAAGUCUGCCAAAUGAAAAACCACUUUUGGCGAAAUAUAUUUGUUCUGUCAUUGUUGACAGAAACAUGUUACACUUAACUUUAAUAUAAUCUGAUAAUCCAAACAUUUUUAUUUAAAAAUAAAGACUAAAAUAUCAAAAGAGAGAGAGAGAGAGAGAGAGAGAGAGAGAGAGAGAGAGAGAGAGAGAGAGAGAGAGAGAGAGAGAAAGACAGAGAGAGAGAGAGAGAGAACAAGCAGUGUGUGAGAGAGAGAAGGUUCUAGAAGGGAUGAGCAAAGGGAGAGAGAUGUUCUAGAAGGGACGAGCAAAGAGAGAGAGAGAGAAAGUUCUAGAAAGGAUGAGCAAAGGGGGAAAGAAAGAGAAGGUUCUAGAAGGAAAGGGAGAGAGAGAGAGGGGGGAGAGAGAGAAAAGGUUCUAGAAAGGACGAACAAAGGUAGAUAGAAAUAGAAGGUUCUAGAAGGGAUGAGCAAAGGGAUAGAGAGAGAACGUUCUAGAAGGGACGAGCAAAGGUGAGACAGAGAGAAGGUUCUAGAAAGGACGAGCGAAGGGAGAAAGCGAGAGAAGGUUAUAGAAAGAACGAGCAAAGGGGAGAUAGAGAGAUGGUUCUAGAAGCACGAGCAAAGGGGAGAUAGAGAGAAGGUUCUAGAAGCACGAGCAAAGGGAGAGAGGGAGAGAAGGUUCUCGUAGGGACGAGAGAAGGGAGAGAGAAGGUUCUAGAAGGCACGAGCGAAGGGAGAGAGCGAGAGAAGGUUCUAAAAAGGACGAGCAAAGGGGAGACAGAAGGUUCUAGAAAGGACGAGCGAAGGGAGAGAGAGAGAAGGUUCGAGAAGGCAUGAGCGAAGGGAGAGCGCGAGAGAAGGUUCGAGAAAGGACGAGCAAAGGGAGAGAAGGUUCUCGUAGGGACGAGCGAAGGGAGAGAGAGAGAAGGUUCUAAAAAGGACGAGCAAAGGGGAGAUAGAGAGAAGGUUCUAGAAGCACGAGCAAAGGGAGAGAGGGAGAGAAGGUUCUCGUAGGGACGAGUGAAGGGAGAGAGAAGGUUCUAGAAGGCACGAGCGAAGGGAGAGAGCGAGAGAAGGUUCUAAAAAGGACGACCAAAGGGGAGACAGAAGGUUCUAGAAAGGACGAGCGAAGGGAGAGAGAGAGAAGGUUUGAGAAGGCAUGAGCGAAGGGAGAGCGCGAGAGAAGGUUCGAGAAAGGACGAGCAAAGGGAGAGAAGGUUCUCGUAGGGACGAGCGAAGGGAGAGAGAGAGAGAAGGUUCUAAAAAGGACGAGCAAAGGGGAGAUAGAGAGAAGGUUCUAGAAGCACGAGCAAAGGGAGAGAGGGAGAGAAGGUUCUCGUAGGGACGAGCGAAGGGAGAGAGAAGGUUCUAGAAGGCACGAGCGAAGGGAGAGAGCGAGAGAAGAAUCUAAAAAGGACGACCAAAGGGGAGACAGAAGGUUCUAGAAAGGACGAGCGAAGGGAGAGAGAGAGAAGGUUCGAGAAGGCACGAGCGAAGGGAGAGCGCGAGAGAAGGUUAGAGAAAGGACGAGCAAAGGGAGAGAAGGUUCUCGUAGGGACGAGCGAAGGGAGAGAGAGAGAGAAGGUUCUAAAAAGGACGAGCAAAGGGGAGACAGAGAGAAGGUUCUAGAAAGGACGAGCGAAGGGAGAGAGAGAGAAGGUUCGAGAAGGCACGAGCGAAGGGAGAGCGCGAGAGAAGGUUCUAGAAAGGACGAGCAUAGGGGAGACAGAGAGAAGGUUCUAGAAGCACGAGCAAAGGAAGAGAGAGAGAGAAGGUUUUAGUAGGGCCGAGCAAAGGGAGAGCGAGAGAGAGAGAGAAGGUUCUAGAAGGGACGAGCCAGGUAGAACCAGGACGUCCGUGAUGUUUGGGUCCCUUGUUAGGCCCUCUGCUAGCGAUGAGGCGAGGAGAGGCUAACAGCCACACGGAAGCAGAGAGAAUUAAACGCUGCGUCACGCUCAGGAAGAAGAAGAAGAAGAAGAAGAGCGUGAGCGUGCACGAGAGCGUGCACGAGGGCGUGUGUGUGUGUGUGUGUGUGUGUGCGCUCCCUGGGUGUUUGUGCUGCAAGUGUCGCUAAUAGCAGCACUUGGAAAAAACAGCAGCAGAGACGCAGAGAGAGAGAGGUGCAGGAGGGAGCAGGGCGAGCGACUCACACACAAGAGAGAGAGAGAUUCUUUUCUAUUUUUUUUAUUUAUUUUUUUGGUUGCUACGUCACUUUUUCAUGUGCGGACAGAAAAUAACAAGUCAUGGAGUUUUUCCUCCUCAAGUGGACAUCUUCUUCCUGCUUGGUACUUCCUUUGCUCUUCCUGUCACUCCAGCUAUUACACAAGAACGUGUGUGUGUGUGUGUGUGUGUGUGUGUGUGUGUGUGUGUGUGUGUGUGUGUGUGUGUGUGUGUGUGUGUCUGUGUGUCUGUGUCCAACAUGGAUGCCAUAACAACUUGUUUUGAUGCGGCUGAGGUGUGUUUUCCAGCACAUUCCGGAAGGCUCCUGCGUGGCGGUCGGUCAGUGGCGUUUGUCGAGGUGUCCGAGCAUCGACGUGUUUUGUUCACGCGGCGUGGGCGUGGAAGGCAGAGGUGAGCGUGUGUGUCGACAGCAGCUGGCCGUGCAAUUAAGAGGACCGUGUUGGUCAUGUGACCGUGUUGGUCAUGUGACGUACGUCCAGCCUGCGGUUUGAGCACGUUGUCGCUAAGCGUAGCUAGCGGAGGCAGAAGUGGUGACGCACUUUCUCUCUGGGCCGGACUUCUCCUCACCUCCUUUUGAUCUCCCCCACUUCCUCUCUCUCUCUCUCUCUCUCUCUGUGUCACGGGGCGAGGGAGCAGUGGGAGUGGCUAAAUGUCAAGAGGACGGGCGAGAUAAGCGAAAAGAGAGCGAGCUUGUUUACUUCUCCUGGACGGGAAGUUGCUGCGUCACACACCAUCUUCUUAUUGGGUGGGAGGGGCCACGCUGGCUUCCCUGGGUGCUUUGCGUAUCGCUGAUUGGCUGGCAAGCGCAAGCCCGGCUGCUGAUUGGUCCAGAAGUGUUUGUUGUUUGAAACCAGGGUUUUUGUGAUUGGAGGGACGCUCGCUCCUGUUUGUUUCUUUAGGACCACCUGAAGAAUGUUUGCCUUCGGUUCUCAGAGUCAAAAGUGAAAAUAUCUUCGACUCAUUUAUAUUGGGGGCCACAUGGCGAUAAUGGCUGCCCUCAGGGGGCCACAUGAAUAUAACAUUUUUGUUUUGUUUGAUUAUUAUAUUUUUUACAGAGUGAUGGACAAUUUGCUUUGAAAUCACGA
Entelurus aequoreus (snake pipefish) is the source of this 4940-nucleotide long non-coding RNA. RefSeq lists it as uncharacterized. The transcript is spliced from 4 exons. Lineage: Eukaryota; Metazoa; Chordata; Actinopteri; Syngnathiformes; Syngnathidae. The record is from RefSeq and is a predicted model, not a curated record.